GCGGAUGUAGCCAAGUCGGAUCAAGGCAGUGGAUUGU
RNAcentral lists this transfer RNA (37 nucleotides) under Callicarpa brevipes f. annamensis. RNAcentral's name for it is "partial tRNA-His". The record is from RNAcentral. Lineage: Eukaryota; Viridiplantae; Streptophyta; Magnoliopsida; Lamiales; Lamiaceae.